CAGCAGGUAAGCACAAGGUCAUCAAGCCUGGGGGUUAGGGUUGGAGGUCUCUCCUUGACACAUACGGUGGAAGGAGAGAAAGAACCAACUGCCCCGUUAGUUGUCUUUGGACCUCCACAUGUGCACUGUGCACGUGAGCAUCCCCUACACAGGCCACACUAAUAAACCCCAGCUGUAGCUAGGCGCCUUGCACUCUCCUAGCACGGUGUCUGAAGCAAGGCUUCCACUGUCUCUAGCCUAAUGAGGAAACCCCUAAUGGGGUGUAUGUGGUUUGACUCACCAUAGAUUUUCUUUUUCUGAUAAACUGCCAAUGGUUGACAUGUACUGGAGAACUGGUGGAUAAUUUUGAAAAGCUGUAUGAAUAAGUAAAUUGUCCACAGAAAUAAUUGUAGAGAGGGGUUUAACUUAACCAGCACUGCCUUCUAUUAAUACUGGUGGAAUCUCUAACUUAGGUAGUCAAGACAGAUGAUGUGCUAUCCCCUGUUGAUAGCAUGGAGUGGCCAUACCUUCCUUUCACUGUUUGAGCCAGUAGGGUCCAGCUGCCACACACCUGUAGGGAUCUCUGAACUUAGGCCAGCCUGGUCGGCCUAGGGAGCUUCCGAUUAGCCAAGGCUACGUAUAUAGACCCCGUGUGACGAAUGUUUUUAAGUCAACAAGGUCCCAAACAACUACAGAGGGAGGAAAAAGAAUUGUCUGGUUCUGUGGCUAAUUAGGGAGGAACCCCAGCCUUUGAGUUUAUAUCAUCAGUUUUACAAGGAAAUACAAAGCUUGAAAGGUCAGGGGGCUAGGAUUAAAUUUGGUUGUUUUUAUUGAAAACUUCUCAUUAUAUCUGAUUACCUUGUGGUCUCAAUACUAUUAUUAAUUUUCUCACAGUCAAACCCAAGACACUAAAAAAAAAAAAAAAAAAAGAAUUAAUGCUUUGUGAAGGAAAAUGAAUGUGUUCCUAUUUUUCAUAAUCCUGGCAUUCUUAAAUUACUGUAUCAUUAGUCCUACUUUUGUGUUUGCAAAGAAUUAAACAUUGUAUUGUCCACUUU
Molecule: long non-coding RNA, 1034 nt
Filed under: Rattus norvegicus (Norway rat)
Lineage: Eukaryota; Metazoa; Chordata; Mammalia; Rodentia; Muridae
Description: long non-coding RNA NONRATT018257
Source: RNAcentral